Molecule: ribosomal RNA, 835 nt
Filed under: Legionella pneumophila
Lineage: Bacteria; Pseudomonadati; Pseudomonadota; Gammaproteobacteria; Legionellales; Legionellaceae
Description: partial 23S ribosomal RNA
Rfam family: Bacterial large subunit ribosomal RNA
Source: RNAcentral
AUGGGGAGCUGGAAACGAGCGUUGAGCCAUAGAUGUCCGAAUGGGGGAACCCGGCUGCAGCGAUGCGGUCAUUUGCAUUUGAAUACAUAGGAUGCAAAGGCGAACUCGGGGAACUGAAACAUCUAAGUACCCGAAGGAAAAGAAAUCAAGAGAGAUUCUCCAAGUAGCGGCGAGCGAACGGGGAGGAGCCUGGCGUGAUUUAUUAUUGAACUGAGUAGAACAAUUUGGGAAAGUUGGCCGUAGAGGGUGAAAGCCCCGUAUACGAAGGUUUGAUGAGGAACUAGGCACGCGAACAAGUAGGCCGGGACACGUGAAAUCCUGGUUGAAGAUGGGUGGACCAUCAUCCAAGGCUAAAUACUACUUACUGACCGAUAGUGAACCAGUACCGUGAGGGAAAGGUGAAAAGAACCCCGGAGAGGGGAGUGAAAUAGAAUCUGAAACCGUUUGCGUACAAGCAGUGGGAGCAUAGUUUAGGCUGUGUGACUGCGUACCUUUUGUAUAAUGGGUCAGCGAGUUACUUUCAGUGGCGAGGUUAACUGAAUAAGGGAGCCGUAGAGAAAUCGAGUCUGAAUAGGGCGAUAGUCGCUGGGAGUAGACCCGAAACCGGGCGAUCUAGCCAUGUGCAGGAUGAAGGUUGGGUAACACCAACUGGAGGUCCGAACCGGGUAAUGUUGAAAAAUUAUCGGAUGACGUGUGGCUAGGAGUGAAAGGCUAAUCAAGCCCGGAGAUAGCUGGUUCUCCCCGAAAGCUAUUUAGGUAGCGCCUCGUGAAUGAUUACUGGGGGUAGAGCACUGUUUCGGCUAGGGGGCUGUCAUGGCUUACCAAACCGAUGCAA